This 229-nucleotide ribosomal RNA is filed under the name uncultured bacterium. RNAcentral describes it as "partial 16S ribosomal RNA". It matches the Rfam family "Bacterial small subunit ribosomal RNA", at positions 118 to 347 of the family's 1533-position model. The record is from RNAcentral.
UGGGCAACCUGCCCCAGACACUGGGAUAACUCCGGGAAACCGGGGCUAAUACCGGAUACUCCGGUCGAACCUCAUGGUUCGAUCGGGAAAGCUCCGACGGUCUGGGAUGGGCCCGCGGCCUAUCAGCUUGUUGGCGAGGUAACGGCUCACCAAGGCGACGACGGGUAGCUGGUCUGAGAGGACGACCAGCCACACUGGAACUGAGAUACGGUCCAGACUCCUACGGGAG